GAUGAACGCUAGCGGCAGGCCUAACACAUGCAAGUCAGGGGCAUCGCGGUGCAGCAAUGCACUGGCGGCGACCGGCGUACGGGUGCGUAACGCGUAUCGCAACCUGCCCCGCACCGGGGGAUAGCCCGCCGAAAGGCGGAUUAAUACCCCGAUGGCCCCGGGGGCCCGCAUGGGCAUCCGGGUAAAGCCUUGGCGGUGCGGGAUGGGCAUGCGUGCCAUUAGCUGGCUGGUGGGGUAACGGCCCACCAGGGCAACGAUGGCUAGGGGGUCUGAGAGGAUGGUCCCCCACACUGGUACUGAGACACGGACCAGACUCCUACGGGAGGCAGCAGUGAGGAAUAUUGGUCAAUGGGCGGAAGCCUGAACCAGCCAUGCCGCGUGCGGGAUGAAGGCCCUACGGGUUGUAAACCGCUUUUCCCCGGGAAGAAUAAGCCCCCCGCGGGGGGUGAUGCCGGUACCGGGGGAAUAAGGAUCGGCUAACUCCGUG
This 487-nucleotide ribosomal RNA is filed under the name uncultured bacterium. RNAcentral describes it as "bacterial SSU rRNA". It matches the Rfam family "Bacterial small subunit ribosomal RNA", at positions 28 to 507 of the family's 1533-position model. The record is from RNAcentral.